This is a long non-coding RNA of Esox lucius (northern pike), 229 nucleotides long. RefSeq lists it as uncharacterized. The transcript is spliced from 3 exons. NCBI's taxonomy places the organism in Eukaryota, Metazoa, Chordata, Actinopteri, Esociformes, Esocidae. The record is from RefSeq and is a predicted model, not a curated record.
ACAGAACGUUUACCUGAGCAAGAAGAAAGAGCUAACAACUCUUCUGGCCACGCACCACCUAUUGGCUCUGCUUUACCUGCGGAUCCUUGUUUACUCAUUGUUCCUGCUGUUCCCAUGGUUUCUGCCACACCCAUGGUUCUGGAUGUCCCUUCCAAGAUCCCAUGGCACCAGAAAUGUCAAGAUCCCAUGGCACCAGAAAUGUCAAGAUCCCAUGGCACCAGAAAUGUCA